UAUGGUAAUUGUGUGCCGCCGCGGUAAUACGGAGGAUGCAAGCGUUAUCCGGAUUUAUUGGGUUUAAAGGGAGCGCAGACGGGUCGUUAAGUCAGCUGUGAAAGUUUGGGGCUCAACCUUAAAAUUGCAGUUGAUACUGGCGUCCUUGAGUGCGGUUGAGGUGUGCGGAAUUCGUGGUGUAGCGGUGAAAUGCUUAGAUAUCACGAAGAACUCCGAUUGCGAAGGCAGCACACUAAGCCGUAACUGACGUUCAUGCUCGAAAGUGUGGGUAUCAAACAGG
Molecule: ribosomal RNA, 280 nt
Filed under: Phocaeicola plebeius DSM 17135
Lineage: Bacteria; Pseudomonadati; Bacteroidota; Bacteroidia; Bacteroidales; Bacteroidaceae
Description: partial 16S ribosomal RNA
Rfam family: Bacterial small subunit ribosomal RNA
Source: RNAcentral